This 440-nucleotide ribosomal RNA is filed under the name uncultured bacterium. RNAcentral describes it as "partial 16S ribosomal RNA". It matches the Rfam family "Bacterial small subunit ribosomal RNA", at positions 338 to 795 of the family's 1533-position model. The record is from RNAcentral.
CCUACGGGUGGCAGCAGUAGGGAAUAUUCCUCAAUGGGGGAAACCCUGAUGCAGCAACGCCGCGUGGAUGAUGAAGGUUUUCGGAUUGUAAACUCCUUUUGUUAGAGAAGAAAAUGCGGGUGUCUAACGAAUCAGCACUGGAUAACUCCGUGCCAGCAGCCGCGGUAAUACGGAGGGCGCACGCGUUAGGCGGAAUCACUGUGCGUAAAGGGCACGGAGGCGGGAUUGCAAGUCAGAUGUGAAAGCCUAGGGCUUAACCAGAGAAGUGCAUUUGAAACUGUUAUGCUUGAGUGUGGGAGAGGUGAGUGGAAUUCUAGGUGUAGCGGUGAAAUGCGUAGAGAUAAAGAGGAAUACUCGUUGCGAAGGCGACCUUCUAGAACAUAACUGACGCUGAUGUGCGAAAGCGUGGGGAGCAAACAGGAUUAGAUACCCCAGUAGUC